This 74-nucleotide transfer RNA is filed under the name Opisthorchis viverrini. RNAcentral's name for it is "tRNA-Pro". Lineage: Eukaryota; Metazoa; Platyhelminthes; Trematoda; Opisthorchiida; Opisthorchiidae. The record is from RNAcentral.
AAUUUAGUAGUCUAACAAGGAUGUGAGCUUUGGGAGUUCGUGGUCUCUUUAUUGAGCUAGUUGACUGAUAGGGC